ACAAAUGCGUUGACGAGACCAGUAGCUUAUGCGGAAGGUUCAGAGAGAGGUGCGGGUGGUGAGAGCAUCUUACGGGAAGGAUAAGUGAAGACCAGCUCCGAGCGGGUCCUUAAUCGGACACGGUGAUUCCGUUAUCAUCAGAAUGAAGUGGUUUGAAUGGGUGAUGAUCCGUUCAGGCAAUCAGGGUGGAACCGCGAUGUUGUAUAGUCGUCCCUUCU
RNAcentral lists this non-coding RNA (218 nucleotides) under Hungatella hathewayi. RNAcentral's name for it is "Clostridium hathewayi T-box sequence". It matches the Rfam family "T-box leader". From Rfam's summary of the family: Uncharged tRNA acts as the effector for transcription antitermination of genes in the T-box leader family. The record is from RNAcentral. Lineage: Bacteria; Bacillati; Bacillota; Clostridia; Lachnospirales; Lachnospiraceae.